GGCAUUAGCACAUAAAAGGCUCCCGCGGCCAGCGGGCACGGGCGCGGGGGUGUCGCCGCUUUGGGGACAAGGACAUCCCCCCCCCCGCUCCCGGCCUCGGGCCCGGCCCCGCUCGGGUCCGCUCGCAUCUCGCUCCCUCCGCGGAGCUUUCGCCUCUUUUUUCUUCCUUUCCCUCUGUAUUUUCUUCCUUCUCCCUCCCUUUUCUUCGUUCUCUCCCCUUUUUCUUCCUUCUCCCCCUUCUUCUUCCUUCUCUCCCCUUUUUCUUCCCCCCCCUUUUAUUUCCUCUCCCCUUUUCGUUUUUUCUCCCCCUUUUGUUUUUUCCCCCUUUCCCCCUCUUUUUUUUCCUCGCCCCUUGCAUUUUUCUCCUGUUUUACUUUGUCCCUUUUCAUUUUUUCCCCUCGGCCCUUUCAUUUUCCUCUCCUCCUUUUCAUUCUUUCCCUGUCUAUUUCCUCCUUUAUUUCUUCUCCUCCUUUUACUUUCCUUGCUCCCUAUUUCCCUUUCCUUCCUUUUAUUUUCCUCAGCUUUUUAUCCCCUCUCUUAUUUUCUCCUUUUAUUUUUCUCCCCUUUUUAUUCUCCCUUCACCUUUUCUCCCGCCUUUUAUUUUUCUCUCUCCUUUCUUCCCUUUCUUUUCUUUCUUCUCCCUCCUUUUCUCUCCCUCAAUUUUUGUCCAUUUAAAUUUUUCCUCUCUGAUUUUUUCUCCCUCUUUCCCCUCCUGCUUCCAUUUCUUCUCCCUCCUUUCUCCCCACUUUCACCUUUUCUCUCUCCAUUCUCCUCCCUCUUUUCCUGCCCACUUCCAUUUUUUCUCCUUCCCUUCAUUUCUUCUCUUUCCUUUCUUCCCUUCCUUUUUUUCCUUCUGUCUGUUUUCCCUCCCUCUUUCCUCCCCGCUUUCAUUUCUUCUCCCUCCUUUUUUCUCCCUCCCUUUUCCUCCCUCUUUUCCUCCCUUUUAUUCUUUCUUCUCACUCUUUUUUCCUCCCUCUUUCUUCCCCAAUUUCAUUUCUUCUCCCUAUUUUUCCUCCUUUUUUUUCUCCCUCUUUUUUCCUCCCUUUUUCCUCCCCACUUUCAUUUCUUCUCCCUGUUUCCCCUCCCUCUUCCCUCCCC
RNAcentral lists this long non-coding RNA (1098 nucleotides) under Serinus canaria (Common canary). Its description in RNAcentral is "lncRNA (ENSSCAG00000014775.1)". The record is from RNAcentral. Lineage: Eukaryota; Metazoa; Chordata; Aves; Passeriformes; Fringillidae.